Molecule: transfer RNA, 63 nt
Filed under: Dipodomys ordii (Ord's kangaroo rat)
Lineage: Eukaryota; Metazoa; Chordata; Mammalia; Rodentia; Heteromyidae
Rfam family: tRNA
About the family: Transfer RNA (tRNA) molecules are approximately 80 nucleotides in length. Their secondary structure includes four short double-helical elements and three loops (D, anti-codon, and T loops).
Source: Rfam by way of RNAcentral
AGGAAUUUGGCUCAGUGGUAGAGCACUUGCCUUGCAUGCAUGAGGCCCUGGGCUCAAUUCCUC